This 537-nucleotide ribosomal RNA is filed under the name uncultured bacterium. Its description in RNAcentral is "bacterial SSU rRNA". It matches the Rfam family "Bacterial small subunit ribosomal RNA", at positions 363 to 896 of the family's 1533-position model. The record is from RNAcentral.
CUUCGGCAAUGGGCGCAAGCCUGACCGAGCGACGCCGCGUGCGGGAUGAAGGUCUUCGGAUUGUAAACCGCUGUCGGAGGGGAUGAAGUGUAUGGGAGCAAUCUCCUGUAUUUGACAGAGCCUCGGAGGAAGCACGGGCUAAGUUCGUGCCAGCAGCCGCGGUAAUACGAACUGUGCAAACGUUAUUCGGAAUCACUGGGCUUAAAGGGUGCGUAGGCGGUCGCACAAGUCAGGUGUGAAAUCCCCCGGCUCAACCGGGGAAUAGCGCUUGAAACUAGGUGACUUGAGUGAGGUAAGGGUACGCGGAACUUCUGGUGGAGCGGUGAAAUGUGUAGAUAUCAGAAGGAACGCCGGUGGCGAAAGCGGCGUACUGGGCCUUGUCUGACGCUGAGGCACGAAAGCUAGGGAAGUGAACGGGAUUAGAUACCCCGGUAAUCCUAGCCGUAAACACUGAGCACUGGAGGGGAGGGGCUUCGGCCGUUUCCCUCGUAGCGAAAGCGUUAAGUGCUCCGCCUGGGGAGUAUGGUCGCAAGGCUG